Molecule: ribosomal RNA, 438 nt
Filed under: uncultured soil bacterium
Lineage: Bacteria
Description: bacterial SSU rRNA
Rfam family: Bacterial small subunit ribosomal RNA
Source: RNAcentral
UAACGGCUCAUCACGACUGCGAUGGGUAGCUGGUCUGAGAGGACGAUCAGCCACACUGGGACUGAGACACGGCCCAGACUCCUACGGGAGGCAGCAGUGGGGAAUCUUGCGCAAUGCGCGAAAGCGUGACGCAGCAACGCCGCGUGGGGGAAGAAGGCCUUCGGGUUGUAAACCCCUUUCAGUUGGGACGAAGCUCCGUCGGUGAAUAGCCGGCUGGAGUGACGGUACCUUCAGAAGAAGCCCCGGCUAACUACGUGCCAGCAGCCGCGGUGAUACGAGGGGGGCAAGCGUUGUUCGGAAUUAUUGGGCGUAAAGGGUGCGUAGGCGGUUUGACAAGUCUAAUGUGAAAUUUUUGGGCUCAACCCAUAGUCUGCAUUGGAAACUGUCGGGCUUGAGUAUGGGAGAGGUGAGUGGAAUUUCCGGUGUAGCGGUGAAAUG